RNAcentral lists this ribosomal RNA (253 nucleotides) under uncultured bacterium. RNAcentral describes it as "partial 16S ribosomal RNA". It matches the Rfam family "Bacterial small subunit ribosomal RNA", at positions 524 to 776 of the family's 1533-position model. The record is from RNAcentral.
UACGUAGGGGGCAAGCGUUGUCCGGAUUUAUUGGGCGUAAAGAGCGUGUAGGCGGUUAGGUAGGUCCGUUGUGAAAGCCCUCGGCUCAACCGAGGAAUUGCGCUCUAAACUGUCGUGCUAGAGGAACCUAGAGGUGAGCAGAACUGAUGGUGGAGCGGUGAAAUGCGUUGAUAUCAUCAGGAAUACCGGAGGCGAAGGCGGCUCACUGGGGGUUUUCUGACGCUGAGGAACGAAAGCCAGGGGAGCGAACGGG